GUCAACUUAGUAUAAUGUGUAUAGUAUGAAAAAUUGUAAAUUUUUAGGUGUAAUUCAGUUGGAA
RNAcentral lists this transfer RNA (64 nucleotides) under Ogmocotyle ailuri. RNAcentral's name for it is "tRNA-Tyr". The record is from RNAcentral. Lineage: Eukaryota; Metazoa; Platyhelminthes; Trematoda; Plagiorchiida; Notocotylidae.